Molecule: long non-coding RNA, 796 nt
Filed under: Gadus morhua (Atlantic cod)
Lineage: Eukaryota; Metazoa; Chordata; Actinopteri; Gadiformes; Gadidae
Description: lncRNA (ENSGMOG00000033375.1)
Source: RNAcentral
AUGAGCCGACGGUCAACAGAGCGCCUCGGCCCCGUCUCGUCCCCGCUUCUCCCCGCGGACCACGUCUUAAACUCGGGAGCAGUUCUCUUCCCCGGUGCUUUCGAUCAACAUGGCUGUCCCCUGGUCGUGUUCCCAGCGGACGGUCUCGACAAACUCGCCACGGAGCUCAAUAAAGCCGAGGUGGUCGACUUCAUCAACUAUUUUCUGAUUCUGCAUAAUAAAAAACAGGACCGAGACAGCCUGGUCUCCGUCGUGGCGGAUUUGAGGCAGGCACCUCUCUCUGCCGCAAGAAUCAUAGCGGAAACACUGCUCCUCCUUCAGACUGCCAGCACGGUCCACACGGCCUACCUCGUCCUACCGAUUAAGAAAGACGUCUUGAAGACGUUGCAGAAAAGCAUCGCUCCCUCAAAACCCCACAACACCGCCUUCAAGAAAGUUCUGCUGAAGGACGUUGCUGAACUCUCCAACUACAUCGACCGGAGCCAGCUGCCACCCUGUUUAGGAGGCUACUUCAUGUACCAUCACCCGAGCUGGGUAGCCUUCAUCAAGGAGAUAGACCUGUUCCUGCAGGAGUUCCUCUCUGUGGUGCAGCGUCUUCCCACCUGUAUCUCCACCCUCCAGUCCAUCUCCAGGCUCCCCAUCCCAGAGGACCUCCACCUGCUCACAGACUUCUGCUCCGCCAACCAGAACCUGUUCCUCCGUCUCAGAAGGUCAGGGUGCAGCAAUUCACUCUUGCAUUUGUUUUCACAUCCUAUGUGUUUGAUGUGCUGAUGCUUAUUUUAUUGGCUGGUUAUGA